Long non-coding RNA from Salvelinus fontinalis (brook trout), 902 nucleotides. RefSeq lists it as uncharacterized. The transcript has 2 exons. NCBI's taxonomy places the organism in Eukaryota, Metazoa, Chordata, Actinopteri, Salmoniformes, Salmonidae. The record is from RefSeq and is a predicted model, not a curated record.
CCGCUCUCAUGGCACGGGAAGGCUGGAGAGACACAGAUGACAUUCUAACUACGAGUUAUGAGUGACAACACUAAUACAGGGGAGAGAGGGGGAUACACAACAACACCUGCCUUAAUGUUGCUGGACCCCAGGAAGAGUAGCUGCUGCCUUGGCAGGAACUAACAGACCCCAGGAAGAGUAGCUGCUGCCUUGGCAGGAACUAACGGACCCCAGGAAGAGUAGCUGCUGCCUUGGCAGGAACUAACAGACCCCAGGAAGAGUAGCUGCUGCCUUGGCAGGAACUAACGGACCCCAGGAAGAGUAGCUGCUGCCUUGGCAGGAACUAACGGACCCCAGGAAGAGUAGCUGCUGCCUUGGCAGGAACUAAUGGACCCCAGGAAGAGUAGCUGCUGCCUUGGCAGGAACUAACGGACCCCAGGAAGAGUAGCUGCUGCCUUGGCAGGAACUAACGGACCCCAGGAAGAGUAGCUGCUGCCUUGGCAGGAACUAACGGACCCCAGGAAGAGUAGCUGCUGCCUUGGCAGGAACUAACGGACCCCAGGAAGAGUAGCUGCUGCCUUGGCAGGAACUAAUGGACCCCAGGAAGAGUAGCUGCUGCCUUGGCAGGAACUAACGGACCCCAGGAAGAGUAGCUGCUGCCUUGGCAGGAACUAAUGGACCCCAGGAAGAGUAGCUGCUGCCUUGGCAGGAACUAAUUGACCCCAGGAAGAGUAGCUGCUGACUUGGCAGGUACUAAUGGAACCCAGGAAGAGUAGCUGCUGCCUUGGCAGGAACUAAUUGACCCCAGGAAGAGUAGCUGCUGACUUCGCAGGAACUAAUGGGGAUCCUUAAUAAAUACAAAUACAAACAUCUAGUUCUUGUUGCCUAUUUAUAAAUGAUUUAUUAAAUCAUUAUUCAUUGAA